RNAcentral lists this long non-coding RNA (8577 nucleotides) under Nicotiana tabacum (common tobacco). RNAcentral describes it as "long non-coding RNA (NTAB_LNC006446)". The record is from RNAcentral. Lineage: Eukaryota; Viridiplantae; Streptophyta; Magnoliopsida; Solanales; Solanaceae.
AUCACACUAUUAAACGAACUAAGUUUCAAUUAAGUACAAACUACCUAAUGCAUUUUUCAUUGAGUUAUAAACCAAAAAAAAACUAUACAAAUCCACUAACAUUUUAUAAAACUACAAAUACAACACCAAAUAAUUAAACUCCUUCGCAUCUUUCAUUUCAUGCUCAACUUUACUGUUACAUCAGUGUGAAAUUCUAGUGUGUACCUGGAUGUUGGACACAAGAGGAAAAGAGGAGUGAUCAAUGCAGCAGCAGUGAUAAAAAGCAGACAGCAACAGCAGCAGUUUCAAGCAGUAAAAUAAGCAGAAUAAAUCCCAGUGAAAGAAUUCAGCUACAACUGAUAGAAACAGUGCUCAAAAUCCAAACCAAAACAAACUCCGGAGACUCAGUUGAGGCCAAGCAGAAAUAGGUUGAUCCGCAAUGACAGUGGAACAACAGUUUUCUGGUUUUUGGACACUCAGAGAAAGAAGCCCAAGUUUCGAAUAGAACAAGACAGUUAAUGCUGAUUUCAAAACAAAAGGAAGGUGAAGAAAAGCAGAAUUUUCAGCUUCUUCUUUGCUCUCAAGUUUCUUUUAGUUCCAAACCCCUUUCCCUCUCUUCUGGUUCUAAACUCUUGGUCUCUCUUUCUAGUUUUUGGUUCCCUUUCCUUAGUUCUUUGGUUCUGUCCUUUAACCUCUUGGUGUCUCACCUCUUUUCUGGUUCUUAAACUCUCUCUGUCUGCCCCGAAAAAAUUAUCUCAAAACUCUCUCCUUCCCUAUUUUUUUUAGUUCUGAAAACCCUUCCCCCUUUAUAUCUGCACACAGACCUUCCCCCAGCUUUUAGAGCAACUAGUCCAAUAAAAUACUGAUCCCCUCCCAUGUGAACCUUCUGUUUUUCCACUCAAAAACUCAAAAGCAAAGUAUUCCUCAUGAGAUUCCUCUUGACAACCCUCCUUCCAUUAUUGUAAUGGUUUAUCCUUUUAUUAAACUAAACGAGUAUGGACAGCAUGAGUAUGUCCUGACAGCACAUGCUGUAAAGUUUGCUUUAAUUCAUUAAAGAACUACAAUGCACAUGCUGUCCAAAAAAUGAGUAAACAUGUCAUCAAUUCAAACUAAACUCUGAAAUCUAUAUUAAACUGCAGCUAUAAACCAAUCCUUAAAUAAUUUCUGAUUUAACUAAUAGACUACAAGCAGUUAAAAUCAAUUCUCAGCUGAUUCAAACAAUGUCUUAGUAAAAAUUAAACAGUUUGAGUCAGAUUAAUACCAUUCCAAACUGAAACUAAUCAACGACAUAUAUCGAAUUGACUACGCGAAUUACAACAUAUACAAUCAGUAGCAAAUGAUCAAAAUCGAACAGUAUUAACAUGUGGUUCAAAAUGUACUUCCCAAAACAAAGAGUUGCCCUGGAAACUAAUUAAUCGAUCAAAACUCAUUUCAAUCGAUUAUAUAGUUAAACACAUACACUCAUCAAUGAAUAGAGAAAAAAAAUCGACCAAAUAAAAGGUUCGGGCAAGGUGGACAGAAUAGUCGACACAAAAUGAAAACAACUCAACUGACAUUUAAACACAUAAACAACAUCAAUAGAAAACAACACGGAACUGACAAGGAAAAGAAAAAAUACCUUAAGAGUUUGAAGAUCAGACGAACCCGUCUUGGAUUCUGACUCGGACUUCUUUUGGGGUUGAACGGACUUUAAUCGAAGUGUUCUCAACUGAGAACACCUCGAUUAAGGUCUAUUAGACCCCAACCCUUUCGUUUAAUUGGACAAAACCCUCAGAUUCUGGAUUUCUAGGGUUCUUGGGUUUGAUUUGGGACUUGGAGUUUUCUGGUUAGAUUCGAACCAAACCAAGCUUGGUUUGGUCACGAGGGAGGUCAGGGGAGUAACUGGUAUGGAUUUGGGGUGGUUUGGCAUAGGUUGGGGUUCGACUCGAAUCUUCAAAUAAAGAUUCGAGACGAUGGGGGAAGAUCCGAGACCAAGGUUUGUAGAUCCGUGUCCAGGGGGUCGAGGUGCACUAGAGGUGUUAAUCUGGUGGUCACCGGCAUUGUUGCCGUCGGGUUUAUGGUGAGGGAACGGAAGGGCGGCGUUAGGGUUCUUGAGGGUGUUUGGGGAAAGAGACGAUGGUGGGGGAGGGGGUCUGGCUUAGGGGCGUGGGGGUAAGGGAUUGGGUUUAUAUAGUUAAGGGGAAACUUGAUCUAGGCCGUUAGAUCAUCAAAAAUAAAUGGCCUGGAUUGAUCAGCUCAGUGGAAACGACGCCGUAUGGGUUAAAUGAGACCAAUGGGUCUCUGGGUGAGACGGGUCGGGUUAAAACGUGGGUAUGGAGACGUGAUCUUGGUCGUUGAUCAAUCUGAGAUCAAUGGCCCAGAUCAAGCAUGAUCAAAACGACAUCGUCUGGACGUCCCUGAGGUCAGCUGAUCUGGACCGGGCAAUACAAAUGCUUUGGGCUCGAUUUGGGUCCAAUUUGAACGGCCCAAUUCCAAUUUCAAACUCAUUUCUUUUCUUCUUUUUUUAUUUCUAAUUAAAAUCCGAAUUUACAAAAAAUCCUAAAAAUAAAAAUAUAAAAAUAUAAAAUUAAAAUUAUAUCACAAGACAUUAAUUGAUUCUUUAGUAAUAAUUAACACACAAUAUCAUAUAUUAAUUAAACAAAAAUCAAACUUUAAACGAUGAAUGACAAAAUUACCAAAGAUAAUAUUUUUGUGAUUUUUUAUUCAUUCAAAACCAAAUACGAUUUAAUUAAUUCCUAAUAAUAGAACAAAAUCCUAAAUUUACACGCGACAUAUAUUUUUGUAUUUUUUAAUUGAUAAAACUAAACAAUCACAGAUAAAAGCUACAAAUAACUAUCAAAAUGCCACGCAAAUUCACAAAAUUAUACACAAAGACAAUUUAUUAUUUUUUUCGAUUUCUUUUGGAGUAAUUGUCGUGUAAACAAAAAUCACGUGCUCACACUCGUCACCAUGCCUAUACAUCGUACUUGAUAAUAAGCACGUAGUAAAUAAGACUCAACUCCUAAUCCCUCAAGCUAAGGUUAGGCCAAACACUUACCUCGAAGCUUUGAAUACCACUCAAGCCUCAAUUAUAGCUUAACCCCCUUGAUUUCACCACCAAUCCAUUCGAAUCUAGUCACAAGUUACUUAAUUACAUCAAUAAGUGCUAAAUGAAUCAACCCCAAUGCAUGAAAAUGAGUUUUCCCAAAGUUUUACCCAAAAAGUCAAAAUCACCCUCGGCCCACGUGGUUGAAACCUGAGGUUCGGACCAAAACCCGAUUACCCAUUCCCCCACGAAUCUAUAAUUUAUUUUGAAAUCGGACCUCAAAUUGAGGUCCAAAUCCCUAAUUUUUGGAAAAAUCUAGGUUCUACCCAAAACACCCAAUUUACCCCAUGAAAAUCUUUGAUUUUAAGUUGAAACCAUGUUAAAAGAUGUUAAUGAUUGAAGAAAACUAGUUAAAAAUGGCUUACAAUUGAUUUGGAGAAGAAAGAUUGUUUGAAAAAUCACCUCUUAUGUUUUUAGGGUUUUAAAAAGUGAAAAAUAGCUGAAAAUCCUGUCUAUUUAUACCCCUCUCAGACCCUCACCGCGGACCGCAUAAAAAGGACCGCGGCCGCGGAGCUCCACCGCGGACCGCAUUAAACGGACUGCGGCCGCACAGGCCUCCCUGAAGACCUACAGUUCAGCACCCUGUGCGGACCGCACAAAGGCGACUGCGGCCGCACAGCCUCCACCGCGCCCCGCACAAAGGCGACCGCGGCCGCGCUAGCCCCUCCUCGGACGCACGCGAUUUCUCGCGAACCGCACUAAAGGGUUCAGAGGCCUGCAACUUCCUGAACCUGCAACAUCUGACUUUCUAAGCCUAAGGCAUCCCGGAACAUACUCGAACUCACCCAAGCCCUCGAAACUCUAACCCAAGUAUACACACAACCUCAAAAACGUCCUACAGACAUAUUCGUGUAAUCAAAUUACCAAAAUAACAUCACGAGCAUCGAAUUAAACCUCGAGAUCAAUGAAAUUUCUCAAAACUCUUUUAAACAUCACAUUUCUCAAUUAAGGUACGGAUCGCGUCAAACGAUGUCCGUCUUUAAGCAAAUUUCACAGGAAUGACUCAAGUAUAUAUAAGACCUAUACCGGGCGACGGAACCAAAAUACGGGCCUGAUACCAACUCAUUCUAAUCAAAUUUCAUUUCAAUUUCCUUAGACAUUUUCAGAAAACCAAUUUCCUUAAAGAAAAUCACUUCUCGGGCUAGAGACCUCGGAUUCCAAUUCUGGGCAUACGCCCGAGUCCCAUAUUUUCCUAUGGAUCCUCCGGUACCGUCAAAUUACGGAUCCAGGUCCGGGUCCGUUUACCCAAAAUAUUGACCGUAGUCAAAUUUAUUCUUUUUAACAUCAAAACUUAGCAUUUUUCACAAAAUUUCAUAUUUAAGCUUUCCGGCUACGCGCCUGGACUGCUCACGCAAAUCGAGACGACUCAAAAUGAGGUUUUCAAGGUCUCGGAAGCACAUAAUGGGUAAGAAAAUAGGUGAUGACCCUUUGGGUCGUCAUAAAAAUUCCUCAUACAUGUCAUGUCACCAAAAACUAGCAUGAACAGAACUAUGCACAAAAUGGACACAAAAUGACUAACUGCUUUUUAUUGAAUAAAGGAUAGCAAGGUCCGAUAAUACAAAAGAAGAAGAAAAAAUGACAAAAUAAGCUACCAUGGCUAAAAGAGGAGUGACUUUCCAGUUACCAAGCAACAUCUUAGCGACACAUUCGCACAUCAGCAUUACUACGACAUUUAACUAUUUUGAUUGUUUUGGAUUGAACACUCAAAUUUUGACGAUCAUCCCGAGCAGCCCAUGUCUUAUUGCUCACAUCUAGUAAAGUCAACCCCACAUUUGCCUCCAUUUUUAAUUUUUCACCGCCAACUUGCCUACUUGCCUUUUUGUGACCCUGGAUCAACAACAAUGGUACUUAUUCCCUUGGUUGAGAAGAUACUUUUAUUUCCGAGAGAUUUUGGAUUGUUCUUGUGACUCGCCAUUGCAAACCAACAAACUGACUACCUUUGACUAGCUUUUAUUUCAAAACAACAACCAUGUUAGAAUAAACACCCUUUCUUUUUUUCCUUUUUUUUUUCUUUUCUUCUUUUUUUUCUUGUUUCUUUCCUCUUUUUCUUUGUGGUUUUUNUNNNNNNNNNNNNNNNNNNNNNNNNNNNNNNNNNNNNNNNNNNNNNNNNNNNNNNNNNNNNNNNNNNNNNNNNNNNNNNNNNNNNNNNNNNNNNNNNNNNNNNNNNNNNNNNNNNNNNNNNNNNNNNNNNNNNNNNNNNNNNNNNNNNNNNNNNNNNNNNNNNNNNNNNNNNNNNNNNNNNNNNNNNNNNNNNNNNNNNNNNNNNNNNNNNNNNNNNNNNNNNNNNNNNNNNNNNNNNNNNNNNNNNNNNNNNNNNNNNNNNNNNNNNNNNNNNNNNNNNNNNNNNNNNNNNNNNNNNNNNNNNNNNNNNNNNNNNNNNNNNNNNNNNNNNNNNNNNNNNNNNNNNNNNNNNNNNNNNNNNNNNNNNNNNNNNNNNNNNNNNNNNNNNNNNNNNNNNNNNNNNNNNNNNNNNNNNNNNNNNNNGGGAAGACUAGAAACAAGUAAAUAAACUAACUAUUUUUGGAUUUUAAAAUUUGUUUUUUUUCGAAAGAAAUACUUACAAAGAAGAAAAAAAAUAUUAUUUGGAUUUCGAUUUGUUUUUUUUAAGAAUUGUUUUGAAAAGAAAGACGUCUAAAAAAGAGGGGGAAAAUAUUUUCUUGAAUUUUAACUUCUUUUUCAUUUUUUUUUCUGGAAAUUUCGAAAGAAAAACUUCUAAAGAAGAAAGGAAAUAUUUUUGGACUUUUACUUUUAUUUAUGAAAGGAAUGCUUCUAAAAAAGAAAAUAUUUUUGAAUUUUGAAUUUUCUUUUCAAUUUUGAAAGAAGAAUGAAAAUAUUUUUUGAUUGUUGGAAGAAAGUAAAAGAAAAUAUUUUUGUAUAUAUUUUUUUUAAAAACGAUUAGGGUCUAAAAGAAAGGCUUUCUAAAGAAGCAAGUAAUGGAAAAUAUUUUUUGGAUUUUUUGAAAAUUGGGAUCUAAAAAAAAGACUUUUCUAGAGAGGAAGUAAAGGAAAAUAUUUUUAGAUUUUUUUGAAAAUUAUGGGCCGGAACCGAUGAGGUUUGUCUACGUAUCUCACAUCCGGUGAGAAUCAGACCCACGUAGUUCGCCCAUUUUUGGCGGAAUAGAAAAAUGACUUAUUUUGAAAUGACUUUUCUUUUUUCAAAAUUUCGGCAGAGUUUUAGGAUAUUUCAAAUAUCUACCUCUCACUCUCUUUUCUUUUUUCUUCUUUCUCCUUUUUUUUGAUUUUCUUUUUUUCUUUUUUUUUUCAUUUUCUUUCCCUAUUCUAGAAGCCAGUCAACAUGCAAGCCGAAACAGACAGAUACGCAAGUAGCACGUAAGAUGCAUCAGGAUAGUCUUUUAAUAUGGGUACACCUGUCCUAGACGGACCCAACUCCUGUGUUGGGUCCCCAAAGUCAAAUGCACAUGAUGCAAACAAGCGUUCCUACUAGGGAUCCGGCAAGAGGCUGAGUUAUACUAGGUUUAAAACCUGGGUUUAUUGUUCUAGACCUGGCUUACCCGAGCGGACAACUCGACCCGACGGGGGGGCUGCGUACCGGUAACCAAAAGAUCAUCCGGCUUUGCAACUUGUCCGAACCUCGUUCUAUUUGGGAUAUGGCACUAACAGAAAGAAGUCACGCCAGUGUGCACUCCUCAGGAGAGAGAAGAGAGAGGUUUCGUAGUAGUUAUAUAUACAAUUCAGAUAAUAUUUAGGCGGUAAAAAACAACAUUUAGCACAUUAGGCCCAAACAUGUAAAUAAAAUCAGAUAAUAAAUAAAGCCAAAUAUAAUGAUUAUUCUAAGCUCGAAUUCUUGAACCCUGAACCAGAGAUUCUCGGUUCUUAUCCCCAUCAGAGUCGCCAAAGCUGUCACACCUCCUUUUUUACCUACACCCCUGAAAGGGUAUAAGGGACUUUUUUCAAUUUAAGUGACGAUCGAAACGAGAUUAUUUAUUUAAAAAUUCAGAGUCGCCACUUGGGAUAAUUUAUGGUGUCCCAAGUCACCGGUUUCAAGUCCCGAAUCGAGGAAAGAUUAACUCAAUUUUACAGUCCGCGAACACAGAAAUCCAGGUAAGGAAUUCUGUUAACCCGGGAGAAGGUGUUAGGCGUUCCCGAAUUCCGUGGUUCUAGCAUGGUCGCUCAACUGUUAUAUUUGGCCUAUUUACUUGAUUUUAAUACAUGUUUUAGCCUAUGUUUCAAUUUUAACUUUAUAACCUCUUUAUUUAAAUAGUUUUCAGGAAGAUUCAACGUCAUGUAAAACACAUCUUGAACCACGUCACAUAAAUGCACCCGCGGUCCAUGACAUAUUUUAUUUAACGUUGUUGAGAUUUGAAUUUGGGUUACAUAAAUGCACACCCGAGUUUAAGGAAGUAAUUUUUAAAUAGCGCGCCUAAGGCAACUACGCAUUUUCAGAUUUGCGAGGGCCAUGGAAAAUUCAACUAAUGGAGCACCUCAAAUUUAAAAGAGUUCAUAUUAAUUAUCCGAGGGUCAUGGGUUAUGGAAUUAUUUGUGGGAAAAAUGUUAUGAAUUAAUAUUUGUCUAAAUAUGGGUCAACUCAUGAAUUGUAUAUACGUUGGGCCAUUAACAUUACUCCUGGACAGCGUAGAGGUUAAAGAAAAUGCCAAACACAUUUCAACCAUAAACGACACCAUCAAUAUAAUCAUGCUGCAAAGAACUAAAAGAAAAGACAAGAAACUAAAAAAAAAUAUCUCACCAAUCACAAAUAUAACAACAAAAUAUUUCAUGAAAACAUCAAUCAAUCCAUUUGAUAAUAUUGAUAUUUCCAACAGAUCUUCGUAGUAAGAAAAUGAUAGAAAACUUAAAAAAUAAACCCACCUAUUUGUUCAUUAACUCCACAAAGUGCAGUCCACAAAAAAAUUGUAAAACAAAUCUUUAUAUUUUCUUUGAUAAAAAUUAGUGCUAAUACCUCAUGAAUCCAAUUAAAACUAAUAGUACUGAAAGAAACAAACACAUAUUGAGAGGAGAAAAAUUAAGCUAACACUGUAAAGGCACUCAAACAUUCAACCAAAUACGUCAAAACUUCAAAAUCAUCCGAAAACAUACAACGUAAUGAGAUAGAGAAUGAACCUUUAAAAGCGGGAAAUUCCUUUAAACAAUGCCGCAGCUAUAGACGCACGAUUGUGCAGCGAAGAGAGAAACAGAACUUCGCCCCAAAAAAAAACUCGUUGUGAACUAGAACGGUACUCGAACAAAACACGCGACAGGAGCACUCGAAACCUCAAUGAUUUUGAAGGACUGAGAUGCUUUUCAUGGCUGGCUUUCAUGGCUAUGUUGUUGCAUUUUUCUGCUGAGUUUUGGAGUUGUUUUGGCAAUGCAAAUGGGAGCUUUCAAAAGCUGGUUUACAUGGCGUCAAAAAGAAGAAAUUGGAUCUGAUUUUGUGAGGAAGAAGAUGACCCAGAUCCCUCCUCCUUCACCUUCCUUUCUCUUUUGAUCUCUUUUUUAUUUUGCUCUCUUUUUGUUUUUGUUUUUUUUGAUCUCCUCUGUUUUUUUUCAUUCCUUUUU